Molecule: ribosomal RNA, 256 nt
Filed under: uncultured archaeon
Lineage: Archaea
Description: partial 16S ribosomal RNA
Rfam family: Bacterial small subunit ribosomal RNA
Source: RNAcentral
UAAGACGGAGGAGGCAAGCGUUGUCCGGAAUUAUUGGGCGUAAAGAGCGCGUAGGCGGUUUUCCAAGUCAUAUGUGAAAACUUUAGGCUUAACCUAAAGAUUGCAUGUGAAACUGGAUAACUAGAGUACGGCAGAGGAAAGUGGAAUUCCUGGUGUAGCGGUGAAAUGCGCAGAUAUCAGGAAGAACACCAGUGGCGAAGGCGGCUUUCUAGGCCGUUACUGACGCUGAGGCGCGAAAGCUAGGGGAGCGAACAGG